UUUACACACAUGAAAGCC
This 18-nucleotide unclassified non-coding RNA is filed under the name Mus musculus (house mouse). RNAcentral's name for it is "oocyte_clustered_small_RNA5346". The record is from RNAcentral. Lineage: Eukaryota; Metazoa; Chordata; Mammalia; Rodentia; Muridae.